This 499-nucleotide ribosomal RNA is filed under the name uncultured bacterium. RNAcentral describes it as "bacterial SSU rRNA". It matches the Rfam family "Bacterial small subunit ribosomal RNA", at positions 19 to 518 of the family's 1533-position model. The record is from RNAcentral.
AUGGCUCAGGAUGAACGCUGGCGGCGUGCUUAACACAUGCAAGUCGAACGAAGCUCUUGAUCUGAGGAUUCGUCUGAAGUGAUGGGAUGACUUAGUGGCGGACGGGUGAGUAACGCGUGGGUAACCUGCCGUAUGCAGGGGGACAACAGUUGGAAACGACUGCUAAUACCGCAUAAGCGCACAGGACCGCAUGGUCUAGUGUGAAAAGAUUUAUCGGCAUACGAUGGACCCGCGUCUGAUUAGCUAGUUGGUGAGGUAACGGCCCACCAAGGCGACAAUCAGUAGCCGGCCUGAGAGGGUGAACGGCCACAUUGGGACUGAGACACGGCCCAAACUCCUACGGGAGGCAGCAGUGGGGAAUAUUGCACAAUGGGGGAAACCCUGAUGCAGCGACGCCGCGUGAGUGAAGAAGUAUCUCGGUAUGUAAAGCUCUAUCAGCAGGGAAGAAAAUGACGGUACCUGACUAAGAAGCCCCGGCUAACUACGUGCCAGCCGCCGC